This is a long non-coding RNA of Eutrema salsugineum, 954 nucleotides long. RefSeq lists it as uncharacterized. Lineage: Eukaryota; Viridiplantae; Streptophyta; Magnoliopsida; Brassicales; Brassicaceae. The transcript has 4 exons. The record is from RefSeq and is a predicted model, not a curated record.
GAACCCGUAUGAGUGGAGUAUGACUGGAGAGGUGUUGGCAUAUGAGAGGUCGUUGGCCAAGAAAAAAUUUCUUCGGGUUUUCUCUUUCAGUCGAAAACAUUUGGUCGGCUAAAUUUCAUUCCCCUCUCAAACAAAAUCGUUGACGUCGGUGAAGAAGAUUGUUUUCGCCGACCGAUUAAGAAAGAAAGAAGGAGAGGAAGAAAACGCUGCGUAUAUCCUAAUGCAGAGGAUAUUCCCAAAAGUCUCAAACAUGUUCUGAGAAUCUAUGGUGCUUACCUCAAGAACAAGGAGAAGCUGAGGACGGCUGUGGAUAUCAUGAGGAGUUGAGAUCAUGAGGCACAUGCCUGUGCAUCCCAAUGUCGUCACCUUGAAGGAGACUUAGGAGGAUGAGCAUGCCGUGCAUCUCGUUAUGGAGCUUUGUGAAGAAGGUGAGUUUUUUGAUAGGAUUGUUGCCAGAGGUCAUUACACCGAGAGAGCUGCUGCUUCUGUCACUAAGACCAUCAUGGAAGUUGUUCAGGGUCUAGUUUUGGAUUUUUGGACAUUGUUGCAAUGUAGCAUUGCUUGAAGAGUACUCUUUGAUUUCGGUUUCUCUGUUUUCUUCAAACCAGGUAUUGUGUUAAUUAAUAUUUUAUUCGUAGAUCCCAUCAACGAGUUUAUUAUUGGAGCUGCAUUUUAGGAUGAGUAUCAUUACUAUGAAAAAAAACCCAAAUAAUAUUAAAAAAAGGCUAUGAACCCCCCAUGAGGUUUAUUGUUGGAGAUGCCCUAAGAUCAGUUGUACCUCUUGAAUCUUGAUAAUAAGCUUCAUUUUGGCGGUGGAGUAAUAAUGGAGUUAAAAAAUCGUAUUGGCGAAUGUCGAACCAUACCAGAAUGCAAAACUGCAAGCAUAUUUAUUGUUUAUUUUGUAACUAGGCCUCAAAUUUCCGCGAAAUUGCAGGAAGAAAACUGUAUAUUAAA